RNAcentral lists this ribosomal RNA (499 nucleotides) under Variovorax paradoxus. Its description in RNAcentral is "bacterial SSU rRNA". It matches the Rfam family "Bacterial small subunit ribosomal RNA", at positions 30 to 523 of the family's 1533-position model. Lineage: Bacteria; Pseudomonadati; Pseudomonadota; Betaproteobacteria; Burkholderiales; Comamonadaceae. The record is from RNAcentral.
UUGAACGCUGGCGGCAUGCCUUACACAUGCAAGUCGAACGGCAGCGCGGGAGCAAUCCUGGCGGCGAGUGGCGAACGGGUGAGUAAUACAUCGGAACGUGCCCAAUCGUGGGGGAUAACGCAGCGAAAGCUGUGCUAAUACCGCAUACGAUCUACGGAUGAAAGCAGGGGAUCGCAAGACCUUGCGCGAAUGGAGCGGCCGAUGGCAGAUUAGGUAGUUGGUGAGGUAAAGGCUCACCAAGCCUUCGAUCUGUAGCUGGUCUGAGAGGACGACCAGCCACACUGGGACUGAGACACGGCCCAGACUCCUACGGGAGGCAGCAGUGGGGAAUUUUGGACAAUGGGCGAAAGCCUGAUCCAGCCAUGCCGCGUGCAGGAUGAAGGCCUUCGGGUUGUAAACUGCUUUUGUACGGAACGAAACGGUCUUUUCUAAUACAGAAGGCUAAUGACGGUACCGUAAGAAUAAGCACCGGCUAACUACGUGCCAGCMGCCGCGGUAA